This 440-nucleotide ribosomal RNA is filed under the name uncultured bacterium. RNAcentral describes it as "bacterial SSU rRNA". It matches the Rfam family "Bacterial small subunit ribosomal RNA", at positions 338 to 775 of the family's 1533-position model. The record is from RNAcentral.
CCUACGGGAGGCAGCAGUGAGGAAUAUUGGUCAAUGGAGGCAACUCUGAACCAGCCAUGCCGCGUGCAGGAAGACUGCCCUAUGGGUUGUAAACUGCUUUUAUACAGGAAGAAACAGUCGUACGUGUACGACCUUGACGGUACUGUAAGAAUAAGCACCGGCUAACUCCGUGCCAGCAGCCGCGGUAAUACGGAGGGUGCAAGCGUUAUCCGGAAUCAUUGGGUUUAAAGGGUCCGCAGGCGGUCAAUUAAGUCAGAGGUGAAAUCCUACAGCUUAACUGUAGAACUGCCUUUGAUACUGGUUGACUUGAGUUAUACGGAAGUAGAUAGAAUGUGUAGUGUAGCGGUGAAAUGCAUAGAUAUUACACAGAAUACCGAUUGCGAAGGCAGUCUACUACGUAUAUACUGACGCUCAUGGACGAAAGCGUGGGGAGCGAACAG